Molecule: ribosomal RNA, 784 nt
Filed under: Salmonella enterica
Lineage: Bacteria; Pseudomonadati; Pseudomonadota; Gammaproteobacteria; Enterobacterales; Enterobacteriaceae
Also listed under: 1 other name
Description: partial 23S ribosomal RNA
Rfam family: Bacterial large subunit ribosomal RNA
Source: RNAcentral
GGUUAAGCGACUAAGCGUACACGGUGGAUGCCCUGGCAGUCAGAGGCGAUGAAGGGCGUGCUAAUCUGCGAUAAGCGCCGGUAAGGUGAUAUGAACCGUUAUAACCGGCGAUACCCGAAUGGGGAAACCCAGUGUGACUCGUCACACUAUCAUUAACUGAAUCCAUAGGUUAAUGAGGCGAACCGGGGGAACUGAAACAUCUAAGUACCCCGAGGAAAAGAAAUCAACCGAGAUUCCCCCAGUAGCGGCGAGCGAACGGGGAGGAGCCCAGAGCCUGAAUCAGCAUGUGUGUUAGUGGAAGCGUCUGGAAAGGCGCGCGAUACAGGGUGACAGCCCCGUACACAAAAGCGCAUGUGCUGUGAGCUCGAUGAGUAGGGCGGGACACGUGGUAUCCUGUCUGAAUAUGGGGGGACCAUCCUCCAAGGCUAAAUACUCCUGACUGACCGAUAGUGAACCAGUACCGUGAGGGAAAGGCGAAAAGAACCCCGGCGAGGGGAGUGAAAAAGAACCUGAAACCGUGUACGUACAAGCAGUGGGAGCCCCACCACCAAAGCAUUUGCUGUACCGCGUUGACGGAGCGAAGCGACGUCAAACCGAUAAAACAGCAGUGUAAAGUGAGCCGCAGGGCGCUUUGCGCGACAGCGCAAAGGCAGGCGGUUUCGCGUAGCGAAAGCGAAUGCUUUGGGGUGGGGUGACUGCGUACCUUUUGUAUAAUGGGUCAGCGACUUAUAUUCUGUAGCAAGGUUAACCGAAUAGGGGAGCCGGAGGGAAACCGAGUCUUAAC